This 158-nucleotide unclassified non-coding RNA is filed under the name uncultured Phomopsis. RNAcentral describes it as "sequence contains ITS2". The record is from RNAcentral. Lineage: Eukaryota; Fungi; Ascomycota; Sordariomycetes; Diaporthales; Cytosporaceae.
CAACCCUCAAGCCUGGCUUGGUGUUGGGGCACCGCCUGUAAAAGGGCGGGCCCUGAAAUCUAGUGGCGAGCUCGCCAGGACCCCGAGCGUAGUAGUUUAUAUCUCGCUCUGGAAGGCCCUGGCGGUGCCCUGCCGUUAAACCCCCAACUUCUGAAAUU